UACGUAGGGUGCGAGCGUUAAUCGGAAUUACUGGGCGUAAAGGGCGCGUAGGUGGCCUUCUAAGUUGAACGUGAAAUCCCUGGGCUCAACCCAGGAACUGCGUCCAAGACUGGGAGGCUUGAAUCCGGGAGAGGGAUGCGGAAUUCCAGGUGUAGCGGUGAAAUGCGUAGAUAUCUGGAGGAACACCGGUGGCGAAGGCGGCACCCUGGACCAAUACUGACGCUGAGGAGCGAAAGCCUGGGGAGCAAACGGG
RNAcentral lists this ribosomal RNA (253 nucleotides) under uncultured bacterium. Its description in RNAcentral is "partial 16S ribosomal RNA". It matches the Rfam family "Bacterial small subunit ribosomal RNA", at positions 524 to 776 of the family's 1533-position model. The record is from RNAcentral.